GAUGAACGCUGGCGGCGUGCCUAAUACAUGCAAGUCGAGCGAACGGACGAGAAGCUUGCUUCUCUGAUGUUAGCGGCGGACGGGUGAGUAACACGUGGAUAACCUACCUAUAAGACUGGGAUAACUUCGGGAAACCGGAGCUAAUACCGGAUAAUAUUUUGAACCGCAUGGUUCAAAAGUGAAAGACGGUCUUGCUGUCACUUAUAGAUGGAUCCGCGCUGCAUUAGCUAGUUGGUAAGGUAACGGCUUACCAAGGCAACGAUGCAUAGCCGACCUGAGAGGGUGAUCGGCCACACUGGAACUGAGACACGGUCCAGACUCCUACGGGAGGCAGCAGUCGGGAAUCUUCCGCAAUGGGCGAAUGCCUGACGGAGCAACGCCGCGUGAGUCAUGAAGGUCUUCGGAUCGUAAAGCUCUGUUAUUAGGGAAGAACAUAUGUGUAAGUACCUGUGCACAUCUUGACGGUACCUAAUCAGAAAGCCACGGCUAACUACGUG
RNAcentral lists this ribosomal RNA (497 nucleotides) under uncultured bacterium. RNAcentral describes it as "partial 16S ribosomal RNA". It matches the Rfam family "Bacterial small subunit ribosomal RNA", at positions 28 to 507 of the family's 1533-position model. The record is from RNAcentral.